Molecule: unclassified non-coding RNA, 430 nt
Filed under: soil metagenome
Description: partial contains 5.8S ribosomal RNA, internal transcribed spacer 2, and large subunit ribosomal RNA
Rfam family: 5.8S ribosomal RNA (bases 1-120)
Source: RNAcentral
GAUGAAGAACGUAGCGAAAUGCGAUACGUAAUGUGAAUUGCAGAAUUCAGUGAAUCAUCGAAUCUUUGAACGCAUAUUGCGCUCUCUGGUAUUCCGGAGAGCAUGCUUGUUUGAGUAUCAGUAAACACCUCAACUCCCUUUUCUUUUUUGAAAUUGGAGCUGGACUUGAGUGAUCCCAACGCUUUCUUCCAAGAAAGUGGCGGGUUGCUUGAAAUGCAGGUGCAGCUGAACUUUUCUCUGAGCUAUAAGCAUAUCUAUUUAGUCUGCCUAAAAAACAGAUUAUUACCUUUGCUGCAGCUAACAUAAAGGAGGCUAGUUCUUGUGCUGACUGAUGCAGGAUUCACAGAGACAGCUUCGGCUGACUUUGUAAACUCGAUCUCAAAUCAAGUAAGACUACCCGCUGAACUUAAGCAUAUCAAUAAGCGGAGGA